AUACGGAGGUUGCGAGCGUUGUUCGGAUUUACUGGGCGUAAAGGGAGCGCAGGCGGCUUGGUCAGUCUAAAGUGAAAGUCCGGGGCUCAACCCCGGAAGUGCUUUGGAUACUACCAGGCUUGAGUACGUGAGAGGUGAGUGGAAUUCCAGGUGUAGCGGUGAAAUGCGUAGAUAUCUGGAGGAACACCGGUGGCGAAGGCGGCUCACUGGCACGAAACUGACGCUGAGGCUCGAAAGCGUGGGGAGCGAACAGGAUUAGAAACCCGAGUAGUCC
Molecule: ribosomal RNA, 274 nt
Filed under: uncultured bacterium
Lineage: Bacteria
Description: partial 16S ribosomal RNA
Rfam family: Bacterial small subunit ribosomal RNA
Source: RNAcentral